Molecule: non-coding RNA, 2298 nt
Organism: Chrysemys picta bellii (western painted turtle)
Lineage: Eukaryota; Metazoa; Chordata; Testudines; Emydidae
Source: RefSeq, a predicted model, not a curated record
GGAGCAGCUCAUCUGUCCUGCGGGGGGGGGAGCACAUCAGCGCCUAAUAUGGAACUAGAAGAACAGGAGGACUUGUGGCACCUUAGUGGAACUGAUACUUGUGGAGCGGCCUAUUCGCAGCGGGGUUUGGGGGCGCGGCCCCUAGUGACGCCCAAUGGAACAGCCUGGAGCGGUCUAUCGAUCCUAAGGCGUGCGGGGAGGAGCAGCCCCUACUGGCACCGCAUGGAACUGAGUGUGGAGUGGUUCAUCUGCCCUGGGGGCGAGGGGGGGAGAACAGCUCCUAAUAGCACCCAAGAGAAGUGUCUGUGGAGCGGCCCACUCACCCCUGCGGGGUUGGCGGAGCCCCUCAAUGGAGCUGCUUGGAGCAGCCCAUCCAUCCGGGGUGCAGGGAGGAGCAGCCCCUGGUGCCUGUGGAGUGGCCCAUCUGCGCUGGGGGACAUGUGGAGCAGCUUGUGCCAGGCCACCCUGCAGUGCCCAGCUCCCCUGGAGGCCAGGCGGCCGGGCGAGAGCGAGGGUCACCCCCCCUGGGACCCACCAUGGGAUGCUGCUGCCUUCACCUCCAGACCUGGAGCCUCACCACCAGGGGGGCAAGUCCCUCCCCAGGGGCAGUGGGUGCAGAGCCCAGCCACCAGCUGCCCCGGGGAGGAGCAGGCCCAUUGCCAUGCACUGCCAAGGCUGGGAUACGAGAUGCGCGUGGCGCGCUAGUUCCUACCCAGGAUCGCCCACAAGGAGGGCAGAUGCUCUGGCCACGAUGGAUGCUCCGCCAUGAGCAAUGGAGUGCCCCAGCAUAGCGGGAGCAUACUCAGGCCCAGCACAGUGGGCCCCCAGGCAUCAACCAAGGGCUUCGACGUGGUGGCCUAGCCCAAGGACUGCUUAGAUUGUAAACGCUUUGGGCCUAGCACUCUGAGGCCUUGGGGCCUGGAGGCAUUAUCACAAUACAACCACUACCUACUGAGCAACAUUUAUUAAAAGAAAACACACAGGCACUUUGGACCAAGUCCCAUGUCUUCCUCCAUCCCUUUGGUUUAUCUUUGUGUCCAUUAGAGAUCAUUUCUUCCUACAGUAGUUUUCGGUAUAUUUGUGAUACCUACAUUUUUGACAUCUAUGUUUUUACUAGCAACAGCCUGAUGUCAAAGAAUUGAGUCCACUGCAUGUUCAAGCAGAAGAAAAGCUGUGUUUGUAGGGAUGAAAAUUCUAAUUCAAAUCGUAUGUCUCCAAUAAGUAUCAAGGUAGAUACAAAGGAAAAUGAUCAGCCAAGAUAAUGUGUAAACUUUUCCUCCCCACAAAAAUAGUUGCUCUAUUGAGAAAGUCACACUUCAAACAUCAUUUACACCAUGUAUAGGCCUGAAGUGUGUUUAGCAUCUAUUGUGGUUUCCUUUAAAAAAAAAAAAAAUCUAUGUAGAUGUAUGAACACAUACAAACAUACAGUUAUUUUACAUAUAGUCAGUGUUUAAUCAAGUUAUAAAAGUGAUAUUCUUUUAAAAAGGUGCAAAGUUUAGUUUAUGUGUUUUAAGAAGUAAAACUACAUAGGUGAGUUUGUCAUUUAAAGAGCCAUUAAUAUUUUUCACUGAGACACAAAUAAUCAAAAUGUAACAUUAGGUAUCAGAUGGCUAGUGAAAUGAACGCUAACCAUCAGUAGUGAGGAAAUGUUUUGUAAAUACUUUGGAUACAGCCUUAAUAAGCCAACAAAACAGACAAAGAUGGAAUUCACUUGGAAUUUUUAGGAAAAUUAACAUGCCAUGGGGGGGAAAAAAAGUAGAAGUUGUUGGACUUUGAUUUAAAAUUAGGAAAAAUGCCAAAGUAACAGAUCUAUGCAAUGUAGACAAUAGUAAUGGGUGACGUUUUUCUGGAGUUUAUGCUAUAAAGACUGAUACAAUGGAGUUUGGAUUAAGUGUGCCUCUAUAGCCUUUUUCAAAUAAAAAACGGAUUUUUGCAUAAUGGAAAUAUUUUUAGACCUACUGAACUUAAGCUGUGAUUCAAAAUUAAAAGAUUUCCCACCUGUACAUCUUAUUUAUAAAUAGGAUUUUUAAAAAUCAAUCAUAUUACUAUAGCAUUUUUUCAUUCUGGUGACUUUCUAUUUAUAUGCAUGUGUAUUAAAGCAGCAUUGUUAACAAUGAACAAACUUAAGUAUUUAGCUUAAACAAGUUUUAUUCAUGAAACAUUACAAAAAUGGCUUAAAACUUGAAUCCCUUCACGGUUUUCACUGAUAGCUGAGUACAGUGCUCCUUAUGUUAAGAUCUACUUGCAAGAAAAUUGAAGGGGCUUAAAGUAUGUGAAAUAUUAAUCUUUUAAGUUUAA